AUGAACGCUGGCGGCGUGCUUAACACAUGCAAGUCGAACGAUGACCCCGUGCUUGCACGGGUGAUUAGUGGCGAACGGGUGAGUAACACGUGAGUAACCUGCCCCUGACUCUGGGAUAAGCCCGGGAAACUGGGUCUAAUACCGGAUAUGACUACUGGCCGCAUGGCCUGGUGGUGGAAAGAAUUUCGGUUGGGGAUGGACUCGCGGCCUAUCAGCUUGUUGGUGAGGUAGUGGCUCACCAAGGCGACGACGGGUAGCCGGCCUGAGAGGGUGACCGGCCACACUGGGACUGAGACACGGCCCAGACUCCUACGGGAGGCAGCAGUGGGGAAUAUUGCACAAUGGGCGCAAGCCUGAUGCAGCGACGCCGCGUGAGGGAUGACGGCCUUCGGGUUGUAAACCUCUUUCAGUAGGGAAGAAGCGAAAGUGACGGUACCUGCAGAAGAAGCGCCGGCUAACUACGUGCCAGCAGCCGCGGUAAUACGUAGGGCGCAAGCGUUAUCCGGAUUUAUUGGGCGUAAAGAGCUCGUAGGCGGUUUGUCGCGUCUGCCGUGAAAGUCCGGGGCUUAACCCCGGAUCUGCGGUGGGUACGGGCAGACUAGAGUGAUGUAGGGGAGACUGGAAUUCCUGGUGUAGCGGUGAAAUGCGCAGAUAUCAGGAGGAACACCGAUGGCGAAGGCAGGUCUCUGGGCAUUAACUGACGCUGAGGAGCGAAAGCAUGGGGAGCGAACAGGAUUAGAUACCCUGGUAGUCCAUGCCGUAAACGUUGGGCACUAGGUG
This 780-nucleotide ribosomal RNA is filed under the name Arthrobacter sp. RNAcentral describes it as "bacterial SSU rRNA". It matches the Rfam family "Bacterial small subunit ribosomal RNA", at positions 29 to 822 of the family's 1533-position model. Lineage: Bacteria; Bacillati; Actinomycetota; Actinomycetes; Micrococcales; Micrococcaceae. The record is from RNAcentral.